GCCGGCUUAGCUCAGCGGUAGAGUGCUUCCUUGGUAAGGAAGAGGUCACGGGUUCAAUUCCCGUAGUUGGCUCAA
RNAcentral lists this transfer RNA (75 nucleotides) under Flavobacterium restrictum. RNAcentral's name for it is "Flavobacterium sp. LB1R34 tRNA-Thr". It matches the Rfam family "tRNA". From Rfam's summary of the family: Transfer RNA (tRNA) molecules are approximately 80 nucleotides in length. Their secondary structure includes four short double-helical elements and three loops (D, anti-codon, and T loops). Lineage: Bacteria; Pseudomonadati; Bacteroidota; Flavobacteriia; Flavobacteriales; Flavobacteriaceae. The record is from RNAcentral.